UUAAAGACUAUGAAGAGGAAAAGUAAGUAUAUCUAUUGCCGCUACAGAGAACCGGAAAAUGCUGAGAACCGGUACGGGUUGGUAUGCUGAAGUUCACCUUGGAGUUGCUUGCUGAAAUCCGGUACCUUUGUCCGGAUGGUAGGCGGAGCCGGAGACCUUCACCGUUAGCAGCGAAGGAGAGUAUCGGCGUUAGGCCUGUACUUUAUUACGAUGUUUUGCCGGCAGGCGGACAACAAAGGUGGUACAGCGAGAUUAACUCUCGUCCUUUUA
RNAcentral lists this non-coding RNA (270 nucleotides) under Sporomusa sphaeroides. Its description in RNAcentral is "T-box sequence". It matches the Rfam family "T-box leader". From Rfam's summary of the family: Uncharged tRNA acts as the effector for transcription antitermination of genes in the T-box leader family. RNAcentral also lists the same sequence under 1 other name. Lineage: Bacteria; Bacillati; Bacillota; Negativicutes; Selenomonadales; Sporomusaceae. The record is from RNAcentral.